This 497-nucleotide ribosomal RNA is filed under the name uncultured bacterium. RNAcentral's name for it is "partial 16S ribosomal RNA". It matches the Rfam family "Bacterial small subunit ribosomal RNA", at positions 28 to 507 of the family's 1533-position model. The record is from RNAcentral.
GACGAACGCUGGCGGCGUGCCUAAUACAUGCAAGUUGAGCGCUGAAGGUUGGUACUUGUACCAACUGGAUGAGCAGCGAACGGGUGAGUAACGCGUGGGGAAUCUGCCUUUGAGCGGGGGACAACAUUUGGAAACGAAUGCUAAUACCGCAUAAAAACUUUAAACACAAGUUUUAAGUUUGAAAGAUGCAAUUGCAUCACUCAAAGAUGAUCCCGCGUUGUAUUAGCUAGUUGGUGAGGUAAAGGCUCACCAAGGCGAUGAUACAUAGCCGACCUGAGAGGGGGAUCGGCCACAGUGGGACUGAGACACGGCCCAAACUCCUACGGGAGGCAGCAGUAGGGAAUCUUCGGAAAUGGACGAAAGUCUGACCGAGCAACGCCGCGGGAGGGAAGAAGGGUUUCGGAUCGUAAAACUCUGUUGGUGGAGAAGAACGUUGGUGAGAGUGGAAAGCUCAUCAAGUGACGGUAACUACCCAGAAAGGGACGGCUAACUACGUG